GGAUUGUGGCUCAGAGGAAGAGCACUUGCCUCGCAUGUGUGAGGCACUGGGUUCGAUCCUCAGCACCA
RNAcentral lists this transfer RNA (68 nucleotides) under Marmota monax (woodchuck). RNAcentral describes it as "tRNA.Ala". Lineage: Eukaryota; Metazoa; Chordata; Mammalia; Rodentia; Sciuridae. The record is from RNAcentral.